RNAcentral lists this long non-coding RNA (311 nucleotides) under Androctonus crassicauda. Lineage: Eukaryota; Metazoa; Arthropoda; Arachnida; Scorpiones; Buthidae. The record is from RNAcentral.
UGAUAUCCUAAGUGUGUCUAACGUAAAUUAUGCUUAACAACUAACUAUUUAAAAUAACCGUAUGGGAGCAUCCAUAAACUAAAUUAUACUAUUUUGAAUGCUUUUUAACCUUUUCCAUUUGCUUCAUCUGUCGUCAGACCAAAUUAACCCCCACUGUGGCAUUACAAUUUUGAAGGUCUCCCUUUCUCCCUUUUUACUUAAAAAAAAUUUUUUUUGCGAAAUUUAUAUUAAAAAAGUACAUAAAAUAGUAUUAUAUAGGAAUUAUUUUACACACCUUUUUACACAUUCUUUAAUUACCAAAUAAAGCUUCG